AUGACAGAAAUAUUGUACCAAUAGUGUGGAAUUUUUUCUAUGUGCGUUGCACAAAGGCACAAACCACAAACCAUGUCCGUGACAGAGGAAACUUUGGGAGAGAAAGACAAAAUAAGAUGAUCAGGAAAUAUUGUUUGAGGACAAAUAUUGAAGUGUGAACAUCCACUGAAUACAGCCUUAUCUUCCCCCUCGUGAUUCUGAUUUUGAUUCCUCACAGUUUUACACCGACACUAAAUUAAUUAUUUUUGGUAUCAAUCAACACAAAAAUGAAUGUGAGAGCUGUGAUCCGGUAGAUAACAUGUUAUAUGUUUCUAUUCCGCUUUAUUCCGCUCGUUUUUAGAUCAUGUUUUUAGUAUACAACUAAGACAAAUUUUUUAUUAUGCAUAAAUUUAUUUUCACUAUUAGAAUUUAGAUCGUACUUAUGAUA
Molecule: long non-coding RNA, 427 nt
Filed under: Trifolium pratense (red clover)
Lineage: Eukaryota; Viridiplantae; Streptophyta; Magnoliopsida; Fabales; Fabaceae
Description: long non-coding RNA (TPRA_LNC002631)
Source: RNAcentral